This 497-nucleotide ribosomal RNA is filed under the name uncultured bacterium. RNAcentral's name for it is "partial 16S ribosomal RNA". It matches the Rfam family "Bacterial small subunit ribosomal RNA", at positions 28 to 507 of the family's 1533-position model. The record is from RNAcentral.
GAUGAACGCUGGCGGCGUGCCUAACACAUGCAAGUCGAACGGACACACGAUGAGCUUUUUCCUCUGCGGGUAGCGGCGGACGGGUGGGUAACAAGUGGAUAGCAAACUUCUUUUUCUUGGGUGAUAUCGGGAAACAGGAGCUGCUACUACCGCAUAUAUUGAACCGCUUGAAUCAAGAGUUCAAGACAGUUUUGCUGUCGGUUAUAGAUGGAUUCGCGCUGCAUUAGCUAGUUGGUAAGGUCACGGCUUACCAAGGCAACGAUGCGUAGCCGACCUGAGAGGAUGAUCGGCCACACUGGAACUGAGACACGGUCCAGACUCCUACGGGAGGCAGCAGUAGGGAAUAUUGCGCAAUGGGCGAAAGCCUGAUGGAGCAACGCCGCGUGAGUGAUGAAGGUCUUCGGGUUGUAAAGCUCUGUUAUUGGGGAAGAAAAAAUGUGGAAGUAACUAUGGAUGUCUUGACGGUACCUAAACAGAAAGCCCCGGCUAACUACGUG